GGUGCCGGUGAACAAGUACAUCAGCAGGUGGACCGUCCUCAUGCUGAAGCUCUGGUCGUACGUCGACAGCGCCUUCUGGAGCUCCUUGUCGUCGAUGAACCCGCUCUUAUCCUGGUCCGCCAGCUGGAAGCACGCCACCAGGCUGGGGUCCGUCCCCGGCGGGAACUGAGACGGCAUCAGCGCCGCGAACGGGUUCCCGUACGGCGACCCCCCCGGCGCCGGCGGGUAUGCGACGACCGGCGGUGGCGGGGCGGCUCCGUAGGGGUCCUGGGGCGGCGCGCCGUAGGGAGCGGAAGGAGCGCCGUAGGGCUGCUGCCCGUACGGUGGCUGCGGCGGCGUUCCGUAGCCGUAGUUCGGCGGCGCGUUGGGGUAUCCGGCCAUUUUGAUUGCGAGAGUUCACGCGAGCGGAGAGUUUCUGUCGAGAGCUGUCGCGACCGUCGUGCUUGGACAGUGAAAGGUAGCGUUCGACCCAAAAAAAAGGGAGCGUUCCUGAUUGGGGGAUUAGGCUCGUGAUAAGGGAUUAUUACGGUUGUGCCACUCACACGUGAAUUGCAUUUUUACUUGGUGGGUCCGGUCAACGCGUUUUCUAAGACAUCGAUAUAUACGCUAAUUAAAUGAAAUAAUUUUCAUAUAUAAGAAAAUUGACCUAAAGUCGUAGAUCACAGGCGUGAAAUUUAUUAGGCACAAAUUAUUAGAUACUUGUAUGCGAUUUACUAAUCCCUUUUCAUCUUUUAAUUAUUACAAAUUGCGUACAAGUUAAAGCGGUCAACUAGUUUUUAAGCAUAAAAUUGAUCCAACUUGAGAAUGUUUAAAUAUAAAUGAAUAAGAUUUACCAUGUAAAAUUUCUUUCCACCGCCCAUGUGUAAUAUGUAUUUAGUAUAUGUAUUUUCUUUAAUACUUUUUUGUGUUUAGUAUGAAUUAGGUAUAUACAUUUUUAAGAUAAGUGUAAUAAAAAUCCUAAAACUUGUCACAAAAAUGCAAUUGAGUUCUAAAAUUUGCAAAAAAUACAAUCAAAUUUUAAAAUUUAUCAAAUUAUUUCAAUCGAGUCUUAAAGUUAACGCCGUCAACUUUUUUAAAGGAAAAUCCUGACAUGACUCGAACAUGGCAUUUUAAAUAAUUUUUCAUUUUUCACAUGGUUUUUUUAAUUAAUUUUUAUUCAAUUUAAAAAAAAUAGUUUGUAAAGAAAAGCUAAAAUUUAUUUUUUAAAUUAGUAAAAAAAAAAGGCAGCUCCUUCCUCGCUGGCCCCUCUAGCAACCGUCACUAGCCCCUCUAGUGAUGGGCAGCGGUAAAGGAAGCACUGGCCUUUUUUUUUCUUUUUUUUUUAGAAUUUUUUUUUAAAAUAAAUUUUAACUUUUCUUUUCUAGUUUUUAAAUUUAAUUUAAAUUUUAAAAAAUUAAAAAAAUCACAUGAAAAAUAAAAAUUAAUUUUAAAUGCCACGUCAGCAUUUUCCGUUAAAAAAAGUUAACGGUGUUAACUUUAUGACUCAAUUAAAAUAAUUUAACAAGUUUUAGGAUUUGAUUUUUUUUUUUGUAAGUUUUAGAACUCAAUUAUAUUUUCGUGACAAGUUUUAAGAUUUCUAUUAUGCUUAUCCCUACAUUUUUCUAGUAGCUACUUUGGUUGCAACGAGGGUUGUUGCCCCUUUUCAAGGUGUUAAGCAAACACUACAACAUAAAAAAAAAUUCCCAAAACUUUGAGAUGCUACAAUUUUAAAUUAUGUAUCACUAAACUUAGUAAAUCACAACAUGUCACACUAGGGUUACAACACAAACAGUUACAUUAGUUAACCAUCAUACCAAACAAAGUCAUUAGUCAAAAAUAUUUCAGCUAAAAUUUACAAAAUUGGGUCAUAAUCAGAGCAAAUUCAUUUCAAUUGAGCUAGUAAAACUUAUAUAAUGGCCAUUGAGGAAUAUCUUGUGCAAAAUUGCAUUUUUGCCCCUUAAUUGGGAAUAUUAGAAAGUGAAUUUGUAGCUUUGACCAAAUUCUUCAUGAUGUUGCAUAGGUAGUCCUUUGAGUCGGCUUUCGCACACAGGACCAAGGGACUAAGGUGUGUUUGGAAAGGCUUUUGAAAAAAGUUCUUGAGAAAAUGUAAAGACCUUUUUAGGUUAAAGGAGUUUUUCAAAAUACAAAGUGUGUUUGGUAAAUUUAUUUGUGAAAGUCCAUUGUGAAGUAUCUUUGUGCAAAAUAGUGUUUGGGUAAAUUAAAUUUGCAAAAGACUUUUGUUAUUAAAAAAAAAAAGAAAAAAAAUGAGAGUUAGCCGGCUAAGGGCUUCGCCAGUUACCGCUGACUAAAGGCUUCGCUGGUUAUCGCCGGCUACCGCUGGCAAAGGGUAGGUGGUCUAGCGAGGGGGAGGUGGUGCAGCGAAGGGUAGCGUUCGACUAGGGUCACAGUGCAGAGGACACAGCGCGGUUGCCGAUGACCCACGUGACCUCCACGACCUCCGUGGCCCAGAUCUGGGCCGCAACAAUGUUGUGGGUGGCCUAGGUCACCAUGACCUCCAGCGACCUCCGUGACCUCCGGCGACUUUCGCGACCCAAAUCUGGAUCAUGAUGAGGUCGUGGGUCACUGGAGGUUGUAGUGACCAACCUCGCUACGACCUAGUGCGACUAGUCAACGACGGUUGCCGAGGUGCCGCGAUCACAUCGGCCUCUCUCCAGCCCGUCGCCGUCCCAUCGCAACCUCAUCGGCCGACAUAUGAGAAUCUGACAAAGAAGAAGAUGAACAGUGCAUUGGGCCUUCCGAAAAUGCUAAAAACCCAAAACAACCUAGCACCUCUUUGGAAGGCCAGCAUUUGCAGGUUUUAAAAAUGUUCCCAAACUCCCAAUAUUUGAGCAAAUGGGCUUUGGAUACCGGCAAAGCUAGUCCCAAAUGCAGCCCAAAUAUACCUUCCUUUUUUUUGUGAAAGGUUUGCUACAAGUAUACUUAUCAAGAUGUCUUGGUUAAUUUUUUGUAACGAAUUAUUGAAGUAGCAAUAAAGUUCAAUAAACCACUGGGGGUUCGCCCCAGUGGCCACCCUUCCAAGUUUGGAAGGGGGAGGUGGGAGUUCAAAUCUCCACCUUCUCAGGGGGGAUUGGGGUGGGGAUUUCAUUUCAGAAGUGGGUUUCGACUCCCACGCCUUGUAAGGAGGUAGUGCAAAAGUCUGAAAGUGAGUGUUAGGCUCCGUUCGUUUCGCGGAAAAUAACUUCCAGGAAAAUAUUUUCCAUAUUUUCCGGUGUUCGGAUGGGCGCUCUCUCUUGCUCUCCCUGCUGCGAAGUCGGCUUCGACGACGUCCUUCUCCGGGACCAGCCUCCGCCCUCCCUGGCCGCUCUUGCCCGCCUGCUCCAGCCGGGGCGCUCCGCUUCCCCGGCGGCUUGAAGCCGCUCGGGAGGAUCCGGCUCAAGAGGGAGCUCCGCGGCGGCGCCGGGAGGCUCGCGGGGAGCCCGCCGUCCAGGCCGCUCGUCGUGCGGUGGCGAGCCGUGAACUCGUCGGAUUUGGCGGGGAGCUCGCGGCUCGCCGGAUCUAGCGGCAGAGCUCGGGCUCCCGAUCCAGGCGAGCUCGAGCUCUGUCGCCAGAUCCGGCGAGCUCGGGUGAGAUCGGCCGAGCCUCGAACUCGCCGGAUCUGGCGGCCGAGCUCGCGGCUCGCCGGAUCUGGCGGCCGAGCUCGCGGCUCGCCGGAUCCAGGCGAGCUCGAGCUCUGUCGCCAGAUCCGGCGAGCUCGGGUGAGAUCGGCCGAGCCUCGAGCUCGCCGGAUUUGGCCACCGGGUCUUGGUCGGCGCUGGGCAGCCGGCCAUCGUCAAGCAGGAAGGAGGCGGCGGCAGCGGAAGGAGGAGGAAGAAGGAGGAGGAAGGAGGCGACGGCGGACGAAGCCGCUCGGGAGGAUUCGGGAGGAAGAAGGAGGAGGAAGGAGGAAGGAAAAAAGAAAGAAAUAAUAAAUAAUAAAAAUUUCUAUUUUAAAAAAUAUAAAUAAUUAAAAAUAUUAAAAUUCAAUUUUUGAUAAUUUUUUUCAGGAAAAUGUUUGAGCUAACGAACAAUGGAAAAUAUUUUCCACUCAAAUUUUAGAUUUUGGCCGAACACCGGAAAAUAGAGUCAUUUUCCUGGAAAAUAACUUCCAGAAAAAUGUUUUCCGGAAACAUGAUAUUUUCCAUGAAACGAACGGAGCCUUAGAGUAGGAUUAGAGUAGGACCGACCAAAAUUAAUAAAUAAAGUUCAAUAAUUAAGUAUAAUAAUUUUUCAAAAAUCUUGUAAUUCAAAUUGUCACAAUAUAUAUUAUACAAGCUUUUCUCGUUCGCUGAAAAAUUAAAAGUGCAAGCGUAAUCGCAUCGUUUUUUUAGAUUCUAUAACAACAAAUAUGGAAAGUUUUUACAUACUUCAAGGAAAACAAAGUGUUAUAGAAUGCGUUAAUUCUUUUGGCAGGAAAAUAUUAUUGGAUCUAGUUCUUUAAAUGUAUUAAUCGCCGCCAAUCCAAAAGAUGGUCGAGUGUAACGGCGCCGUUUCGCCGGUAGACUUCCAGUAGGGACAGGUUAUGGGAUCGCUUUCGCGGGCUCAUCGCAAAGACCCAAAAACGCGCGUCGUCGCGGGUAAGACAGAGCAAGAACAAAGCGAAACCCUUCAAACCCCAAAUCGAACAGCUAAACGCAACGCAACGCAACGCAACGCACAUCGUUCGCAACCCUCGCGAUCGAUCGAUCGAGGCACGAAUCGACUGGAGAGAGAUGGGGAAAUAGGACUCACCGAUCUUCCUCGCGUUGGUGUUGGUGAACAGGUACAUCAGCAGGUGGACCGUCCUCAAGCUGAAGCUCUGGUUGUACGUCGACAGCGCCCGCUGCAGCUCCUUGUCGUCGAUGAACCCGCUCCGGUCCAAGUCCGCCAUCUGGAAGCUCGCCACCAGGCUCGGGUCCGUCCCCGGCGGGAACUGCGACGGCAUCAGCGCCGCGAACGGGUUCCCG
This 4922-nucleotide long non-coding RNA is filed under the name Eucalyptus grandis. RNAcentral describes it as "long non-coding RNA (EGRA_LNC000320)". The stretch from base 3482 to 3562 matches the Rfam family "MIR1846 microRNA precursor family", at positions 1 to 86 of the family's 110-position model. Lineage: Eukaryota; Viridiplantae; Streptophyta; Magnoliopsida; Myrtales; Myrtaceae. The record is from RNAcentral.